Long non-coding RNA from Phyllostomus discolor (pale spear-nosed bat), 121 nucleotides. RefSeq lists it as uncharacterized. Lineage: Eukaryota; Metazoa; Chordata; Mammalia; Chiroptera; Phyllostomidae. The transcript is spliced from 3 exons. The record is from RefSeq and is a predicted model, not a curated record.
AGCGUAUUUCUCACUGGGCUUUUAUUGGAUUUAACUUGCAUAGGAAUACAGAGUGUAUACAUAAAACUUGUCAAUCAUUGUCAGGCAGAAGUGGUCAAAUAAUAGAUAACAUUCAAAGAAC